This 1341-nucleotide ribosomal RNA is filed under the name uncultured bacterium. RNAcentral's name for it is "partial 16S ribosomal RNA". It matches the Rfam family "Bacterial small subunit ribosomal RNA", at positions 28 to 1381 of the family's 1533-position model. The record is from RNAcentral.
GACGAACGCUGGCGGCGUGCUUAACACAUGCAAGUCGAACGGUAAGGCUCCAGCUUGCUGGGGUACACGAGUGGCGAACGGGUGAGUAACACGUGGGUGACCUGCCCUGCACUUCGGGAUAAGCCUGGGAAACUGGGUCUAAUACCGGAUAGGACCGCACCGUGAGGGUGUGGUGAAAAGUUUUUUCGGUGUGGGAUGGGCCCGCGGCCUAUCAGCUUGUUGGUGGGGUAAUGGCCUACCAAGGCGGCGACGGGUAGCCGGCCUGAGAGGGUGGACGGCCACAUUGGGACUGAGACACGGCCCAGACUCCUACGGGAGGCAGCAGUGGGGAAUAUUGCACAAUGGGCGGAAGCCUGAUGCAGCGACGCCGCGUGGGGGAUGACGGCCUUCGGGUUGUAAACUCCUUUCACCAUCGACGAAGGGUUUCUGACGGUAGAUGGAGAAGAAGCACCGGCUAACUACGUGCCAGCAGCCGCGGUAAUACGUAGGGUGCGAGCGUCGUCCGGAAUUACUGGGCGUAAAGAGCUCGUAGGUGGUUUGUCGCGUCGUCUGUGAAAUUCCGGGGCUUAACUCCGGGCGUGCAGGCGAUACGGGCAUAACUUGAGUACUGUAGGGGAGACUGGAAUUCCUGGUGUAGCGGUGAAAUGCGCAGAUAUCAGGAGGAACACCGGUGGCGAAGGCGGGUCUCUGGGCAGUAACUGACGCUGAGGAGCGAAAGCAUGGGGAGCGAACAGGAUUAGAUACCCUGGUAGUCCAUGCCGUAAACGGUGGGCGCUAGGUGUGGGUUUCCUUCCACGGGAUCCGUGCCGUAGCUAACGCAUUAAGCGCCCCGCCUGGGGAGUACGGCCGCAAGGCUAAAACUCAAAGGAAUUGACGGGGGCCCGCACAAGCGGCGGAGCAUGUGGAUUAAUUCGAUGCAACGCGAAGAACCUUACCUGGGCUUGACAUAUACAGGAUCGCGCCAGAGAUGGUGUUUCCCUUGUGGCUUGUAUACAGGUGGUGCAUGGUUGUCGUCAGCUCGUGUCGUGAGAUGUUGGGUUAAGUCCCGCAACGAGCGCAACCCUUGUCUUAUGUUGCCAGCACGUUGUGGUGGGGACUCGUAAGAAACUGCCGGGGUUAACUCGGAGGAAGGUGGGGAUGACGUCAAAUCAUCAUGCCCCUUAUGUCCAGGGCUUCACACAUGCUACAAUGGUCGGUACAGUGGGUUGCCAGUCCGUGAGGGCGAGCUAAUCCCGCAAAGCCGGUCUCAGUUCGGAUCGGGGUCUGCAACUCGACCCCGUGAAGUCGGAGUCGCUAGUAAUCGCAGAUCAGCAACGCUGCGGUGAAUACGUUCCCGGGCCU